Long non-coding RNA from Parus major (Great Tit), 1132 nucleotides. RefSeq lists it as uncharacterized. The transcript has 3 exons. The record is from RefSeq and is a predicted model, not a curated record. Lineage: Eukaryota; Metazoa; Chordata; Aves; Passeriformes; Paridae.
AGAAAUACUUUUGCCAGAUGAAAGCUGUUCUGCUGUUGCCUUUCCAACAGGAUAGUUCAGUCUGCAGCUUCUCCAGCAGCUCUGAGUAGCUCCAGCAGUCUGUCACAUGCUGCCAAAGGCACACUGCAAUCCCAGCAAGGGUGUGUGAGGAUGGGAGCCCUCUUGGCAUAAGCGUUGGAGGAUCAUCCCACUAAGUAGGAGCCAGGUUGGAUCCUAUGUCCAGAGUCUUCCUGAAGCAUGGAACAUUCUCUGUUGCAAGAGCAUCAGCUUUUGAAAAGCCUGAUCUAAAUCUCCACGAGAACUACUCACUAUUGCAGUACCCGAGGAAUGAAGUCUCAUCAGGCUUCAGCAGUGCAAUUAAAAUAAAACCACCUCAUGUUUGACUUGUUUCAAAUAACUAGUUCUUCUGUUUUCUGGGCUGAGGUUCUCCAAAGGACAUAACCAAGGUGAAGCAGGGCAAGAAGAGCAGAAAUGGGAGUUGGGUGUCCACUUAUGGGCAGCAACUGUCCCAGCUCUCAGCUGAAAUACAUUUUAGGAUCCUAAUAGAUAAUGACACCAUUUCACUGUAAAGAAACUGCAUUGUUAUAUUCUUAACAGUUUUUCAUAGAUACUUGAUUGGGAUGACACAUACAGAAUAAAAUACUAAUACAGUAGCAUACAAAGGAGUUUUACAAGCAGUAACAUAUUUCUAAAAAACCAAACCAAUGAUUAAAAUCACAGGACAAUGGGUUUUGAAUUUUUUUUUUUUAAGUGGAAGUCAAUAAUAUGUUGUGCUAUAAACAAAUCUUUAAUCCAGGGUUACUCCAGAUAACACAGUUAUGUUUUGCAGUCAGUAGUCUCCAAAAGAACAUUAAGCUUGUAUAGAUGCCUGACUAAGAUGGUGGCAUAUUUACAAUACAUUAUACUGAUUUAUAUGUGCUUUUUCGUCUCCAUCCAAACAAUAGCUUUUCUUCAUCCCUAUCCUAACAGCUGCAGCAAUGGGGUUUGUUUCAGGCUUUGUUUGGGAGAUUAAAACCAUCUCAGUAUAAUCUCUUUUUGUUUUAUACACUGAAGGAAGCAUUAGAGAUGAAAAUGAAUGCCACAAUGGAUUUCAUUAAUCACACCAGGAAGCUUGAUCUGCUGUAGUAGGCAC